RNAcentral lists this ribosomal RNA (301 nucleotides) under uncultured bacterium. Its description in RNAcentral is "partial 16S ribosomal RNA". It matches the Rfam family "Bacterial small subunit ribosomal RNA", at positions 509 to 807 of the family's 1533-position model. The record is from RNAcentral.
CAGCCGCCGCGGUAACACGGAGGGUGCAAGCGUUAAUCGGAAUUACUGGGCGUAAAGCGCACGCAGGCGGUCUGACAAGUCAGAUGUGAAAUCCCCGGGCUUAACCUGGGAACUGCAUUUGAAACUAUCAGGCUGGAGUCUUGUAGAGGGGGGUAGAAUUCCAGGUGUAGCGGUGAAAUGCGUAGAGAUCUGGAGGAAUACCGGUGGCGAAGGCGGCCCCCUGGACAAAGACUGACGCUCAGGUGCGAAAGCGUGGGGAGCAAACAGGAUUAGAUACCCCUGUAGUCCCUGUCUCUUAUAC